RNAcentral lists this ribosomal RNA (424 nucleotides) under uncultured eukaryote. RNAcentral describes it as "SSU rRNA". It matches the Rfam family "Eukaryotic small subunit ribosomal RNA", at positions 592 to 1017 of the family's 1831-position model. The record is from RNAcentral.
CAAUAGCGUAUAUUUAAGUUGUUGCAGUUAAAAGCUCGUAGUUGGAUUUCGGAUGUGAACGACCGGUCCGCCGUUGCGGUGUGCACUGGACGUUUGUAUCUUGUUGUCGGGGACGCGCUCCUGACCUUAACUGGGAGGGACGCGGAGUCGGCGCUGUUACUUUGAAAAAUUAGAGUGUUCAAAGCAGGCAACCGCUCUGAAUACAUUAGCAUGGAAUAACGCUAUAGGACUCUGGUCCUAUUGUGUUGGUCUUCGGGACCGGAGUAAUGAUUAAGAGGGACAGUUGGGGCAGUUCGUAUUCAUUUGUCAGAGGUGAAAUUCUUGGAUUUAUGAAAGAUCGAAACUUCUGCUGAAAGCAUUUGCCAAUGGAUGUUUUCUAUUAAUCAAGAACGAAAGUUAGGGGAUCGAAGAUGAUUAGAUACCG